RNAcentral lists this ribosomal RNA (464 nucleotides) under Vreelandella stevensii. RNAcentral's name for it is "partial 16S ribosomal RNA". It matches the Rfam family "Bacterial small subunit ribosomal RNA", at positions 339 to 795 of the family's 1533-position model. The record is from RNAcentral. Lineage: Bacteria; Pseudomonadati; Pseudomonadota; Gammaproteobacteria; Oceanospirillales; Halomonadaceae.
CUACGGGCGGCAGCAGUGGGGAAUAUUGGACAAUGGGCGAAAGCCUGAUCCAGCCAUGCCGCGUGUGUGAAGAAGGCCUUCGGGUUGUAAAGCACUUUCAGUGGGGAAGAAAGCCUUGGGGCUAAUACCCUCGAGGAAGGACAUCACCCACAGAAGAAGCACCGGCUAACUCCGUGCCAGCAGCCGCGGUAAUACGGAGGGUGCGAGCGUUAAUCGGAAUUACUGGGCGUAAAGCGCGCGUAGGCGGUCUGAUAAGCCGGUUGUGAAAGCCCCGGGCUCAACCUGGGAACGGCAUCCGGAACUGUCAGGCUAGAGGGCAGGAGAGGAAGGUAGAAUUCCCGGUGUAGCGGUGAAAUGCGUAGAGCUCGGGAGGAAUACCAGUGGCGAAGGCGGCCUUCUGGACUGACACUGACGCUGAGGUGCGAAAGCGUGGGUAGCAAACAGGAUUAGAUACCCGAGUAGUC